Molecule: long non-coding RNA, 4498 nt
Organism: Acanthochromis polyacanthus (spiny chromis)
Lineage: Eukaryota; Metazoa; Chordata; Actinopteri; Pomacentridae
Exons: 3
Source: RefSeq, a predicted model, not a curated record
CAUGUAAUGGAUGGAGCUGACAAAAAAGUAGCACCUGCUUAAGAGCUCUGCACAGGUGUGUGUGAGAAGGGAUGGGACAGACAUCAGAGAGAGAAAGGGGGAGGCGACAGUCUGCUGGACUUCAUGAAUAAGAUAAGGAGAGACAGUGUGAUAAACAGCAGCUCCUGCAACCCACUCUCCAGUGAAUAAACACACUGAAUCCAGAGUCACAAGCACACUGCAUCUACACACAAAUUAUACAUUAAUCACACACACACACACACACAUACACACACAGCUUGGCGAGUGUGUUGUCCCCUGCUGCUUAGCAGGCAGUGCUGCUCCCCUCAGUCUCUCUCUGCUGACUCCCUUUGACUCGGGGAGAAAAGUAGAGAGGAGGGGAGGAUGGUGAGAGAUAUUGUGAGGUUGGAAGGAGGGUAGGAGAGAGGACAGAAAAGCAAGACCAGGAAAUGCAAGAAGAACAGGAGAGGAGAGGGGGAAAAAGUAAAAAUAAUGUAGGUUGGAAACGGUGCACAAGGAAAAGUAGGGAAGGAAAUUUGAGAGAAAGAGUGAUGGAAGGCAGAGAAAUAAGGUAAGGAGAAAAACAGGCAGCUAAGGCAAGGAUGAGCAAAAAGGAAAGGAGGUAGAGGCUCGAUGGAGGGAUGAACAGAGCUGAGGAGAAAAGAUGGAUGGCUGGUCAUGCCAAAGACACAGAUACACAAUCAGAGUGCAUUUUCUCUCAAGUGGAGCCAGUUAAGGUGAGUCAGGUGUUGAUGGAGGCAGGAUGGAGCUAGCUAUUAAUAGCUGCUGCAAAAUAGUAUGACACUUGCUCCUGUAUAAAGGAGCGAUGGAAGGUGAGGACAUGCAGGCAGCAAACUGUCCUCACCCGAUCUGCCUGAUGUCAGUGAGCUAUAUAAGAAGUGUUGUGGGGUGGAUGGCGUGACUCAAGGCAUCGUCUGCCGGCUCUGAACCGCUGUGAUAAGACCAUCAUCCAGUAAGAUUUGGAAAGGAGCAGCAACAUGUGGAGCAUGUGGGAAGUGAACCAAUGAAAACUGGAGGACCAGCUGUGCGGGUUCCUCCCUGCCUGCCAAGAUCCAUCCGUUUCCCCCCUGGACCCCUCCGUCAUUGAGACUCCUGGAUCCCCUUACUUGGCCUCCCCUCCUCGCCUCCUGGUGCCCCUUGGAACCGCUGGACCAUCACGAGCCCCACCAUAAUGAACCUCCUGGAUCAUCAGCCGCCAGGGAUCCCCGUACCAUCUGCCGCCACACUCUGCUCCCCUCCGGAGCCCUCCACGGCCGCCGAUCCCCGGCUUCCCUCCACCUCAGCAGCCGGAACCCUUCCUCCGCCGCCGCUGCACUCCUGGACCUUCACCCCUGACCAUACUCACCCCUCCCUCAGACAAUAAACCAGCUUUUCCUCUAUUCAGCCUUGGUGGCGUGGUUCUCCGCUCGAGUCCAAACCCACACAUUGUGACAAUUGCAGUUACCAGCCUCCAGAAUCACCAUUUAAAAGCUCCUCAGAUCAAAGAAGUACAGACGCAACUGAGCAUCAGACCUUCCAGGUUAAAUUGCUGAAGAGAAGCCACUAUUGAGGAAGACCAUUAACAAGAAGUGGAGGAAAGACCAGUGGAAACCUGGAUUUUGGUCUGCUGUGUCCAAACAAGAGAAUUUUGGCUGCAGUUGCUGUGUCUUUGUCUUUGUGGGACACAGAACAGGUGAAGGUAUCUGUAUGUGAGGUUACUACCAUGAAGUGGAGGAGGAGCGACAUGUUGCUAUAUGAUUAACCAGGUUCAGCUCCCACAACAACCUGCACUGACAACAUCUGUGAUCCAAACUUAUCGUCCACACCAGUAUUAUCAUUUCAUGACUAUUUAUUGCUUAUACAGUUGUGUUCAAAAUAAUAGCAGUGUUCUUCAAAAUGUGAGUAGAGAUCAAAAUCCUGCUUGGAAAAUUCAAAGUUUUUUAUUUUAUUAACUGAGAACAAUGCACUUUACAUUUUACAUUAAAACAUGGUGAGAAAUUUCUCUAUUUUAAAUCAUUUGCAGAAAAUUACAGGAACAAAUAUUUUUGCCCGUUCAAAAAAAAUAGCAGUAUCUGCACUGUUCAUUUCAAACUUAAAAAAAAGUGUUUGAUUUGGCAUUCCUGUGAAUAAAUAAACUAAUAUUUUGUUGUGUAGCCACAGUUUUGAGAACUUCUUCACAUCUGUGAGGCAUGGAAUCAACCAACUUCUGGCAUCUGUCAACUGGUAUUCUGGCCCAGGAUGACUUGACAACCUUCCACAGUUCCUCUGCAUUUCUUGGCUUUGCCUCAGAAACAGCCCUUUUGAUGUCACCCCACAAGCUUUGGAUUGGAUUAAGGUCCGGGGAUUGGGCUGGCUACUCCAUAACCUUAACUUUGUUGGUCGAGAACCAAGAUGUUGCACGCUUGCUGGUGUGUUUGGGGUCGUUGUCUUGUUGAAACGCCCAUUUUAAGGACAUUUCCUCUUCAGCAUAAGGCAGCAUGACCUCUUCAAGUAUUGUGAUAUAAGCAAACUGAUCAAUGAUUCCUGGUAUGCGAUAAAUGGGCCCAACACCAUAGUAAGAGAAACAGCCCCAUAUCAUGAGGCUUGUACCACCAUGCUUCACGGUCUUCAGGGUGUGCUGUGGCUUGAAUUCUGUGUUUGGGGAUCGCCUGACAAAGACUCUGCGGCCCUUGGACCCAAAAAGAACAAUUUUACUCUCACCAGUCCACAAAAUAUUUCUCCAUUUCUCUUUAGGCCAGGUCAUAUGCUCUUUGGCAAAUUGUAUCGUCUUCAGCACAUCUUUUUUUUAACAGUGGGACUUCUUGCCCAUAGACUGGCCUCACACAAGCGUCUUCCAAUUGUCACAGUACUCACAGGUAACUCCAGACUGUCUUUGAUCUCCCUGGAGCUGAUCAUUAGCUGAGUCUUUGCCAUUCUGGCUAUUGAUCGAUCCAUCUGAACUGUAGUCUUCCGUUUUCUUCCACGUCUCUCUGGUUUUGCUUUCCAUUUCAAAGCAUUGGAGAUCAUUUUAGCUGAGCAGCCUAUGAUUUUCUGCACUUCUUUGUAUGUUUUCCCCUCUUUAAUCAACUUUUUAAUUAGAGUAUGCUGCUCUUCUGUACAAUGUCUGGAACGACCCAUCUUUGGUUUUCACAGAGAAUUGCAUGGUCAACAUGUGCUGGCUUCAUCCUUAAAUAAGGGCCACCUGUAUCACACCUGUUUCGUCACAUAAUGAAUGAGCUCACUGAUUGGACUCGAGACUGCUAUUAUUUUGAACACGCCCUUUUCAAUUAUUUAUUCAAUUACACAAACUCAAGAGCAUGCAUGUCAUGAAUGUUAGGUCUGCUGGUUUCUGUGACUCAACAACACCUACGAGUAAAUUAUUUGCCAUCUAAUAAUAAAAUUUCUGCCAAAAACCAUGAUUAAUCUGGUUAGUCAUGAUGGACUGCUAUUAUUUUGAACACAACUGUAUAACCUUUGUUGGUUUUUUUUUAUUAGCACAGAUGGAUUGUAUCCAGAAUUUUUAUGCUACAAUCUUGCAUUGCAGAGCUUCUUCCUUCUUCAAUGAAGGCCCUUCUCUAGGCUCUGUAAGGGCUGUUUAACAAAGAAGCAGAUUCAUGUGGCGUUUAAUCCGUUAACCUGGACUCCACUAUUAGCAGAGAUCAAGCUAGCUGAUAUGUUUUAGGAUGAGUUGGAAUACAGAGUGGAAGAAAAGCAGCCAACAAGUGCACAGCAUGUGACAGAACUACUUCAAGACUGCUGGAAAAGCUGCAGGCAACAGGUUCAUGAAGCUUGUUGGAGAAUGUCAGUGUAUGAACCUGAAUCUUAAGAAUCUUACAUUAAAAACAUAUUUUCUCUUUGUAAACACUUUGCUUACUGCAUAAACCACAUACAUUUUUCAUUUUAUAGUUCAGAUGUUUUCAGUUUUGUUCCAUAGUGUAGGAAAAAAAAGGAGUGUCCAAAUUCUUCACAGACAAUGUCUGUGAUCCCUGUGGUAGGGUAGACGGUCUGCAUAACACUUCUACUUUGGCAGCACAACACCCAUUCAUAGACAUUUACACAAUAAUAGCAACAGAGCUGCUAUGUAAGGUCCUCACCAGCCAUCUGGAGGCACCGGGGGUUCAGUAUCUUGCCCAAGGACACAAUGACAUGUGGAGGGGACAGAGAUUGAACCACCAACCUAAUGUUUAGUGGGCAACUUGCUCUACCUGACUCAGCCAUUGUCAUGCAUGUUUAUGGUGACACUGGGAGUUAAUAUGCAAAUAUGAAGCAAUUUAGGGAGCUUUUAGAGUUGCAUGUAAACAUAGGCUGACAUAUACAGUGAUACAGAGACUUUUAAUGCAAAUCAGGACUGACAUGUAUGGUGGCAUAUAGUGUUAUACGUCUGUGAGUUCUCAUGCAUAUCUAGUAGUUUAUAAGCAAAUGUGCAGUGACAGGCAAGUCUUCAACAAAGGUUUUAUGAAAAUGAAGGUGGGGUGAAAUGAAGGCUAAAGCCAAUAAAUAAACAGAAAGAGAGAAAGCA